GACGAACGCUGGCGGCGUGCUUAACACAUGCAAGUCGAACGGAAAGGCCCUGCUUUUGUGGGGUGCUCGAGUGGCGAACGGGUGAGGAACACGUGAGUAACCUGCCCUUGACUUUGGGAUAACUUCAGGAAACUGGGGCUAAUACCGGAUAGGAGCUCCUGCUGCAUGGUGGGGGUGGGAAAGUUUCGGCGGGUGGGGAUGGACUCGCGGCUUAUCAGCUUGUUGGUGGGGUAGUGGCUUACCCAGGCUUUGACGGGUAGCCGGCCUGAGAGGGUGACCGGCGACAUUGGGACUGCGGUACGGCGCAGACUCCUACGGGAGGCAGUAGUGGGGAAUAUUGCACAAUGGGCGGAAGCCUGAUGCAGCAACGCCGCGUGCGGGAUGACGGCCUUCGGGGUGUAAAACGCUUUCGCCUGUGACGAAGCGUGAGUGACGGUAAUGGGUAAAGAAGCACCGGCUAACUACGUG
Molecule: ribosomal RNA, 468 nt
Filed under: uncultured bacterium
Lineage: Bacteria
Description: partial 16S ribosomal RNA
Rfam family: Bacterial small subunit ribosomal RNA
Source: RNAcentral